AGUAAUGCAUAGGAAUCUACCCAGUAGUGGGGGAUAACCUGGGGAAACCCAGGCUAAUACCGCAUACGUCCUACGGGAGAAAGGGGGCUUUUGCUCCCGCUAUCGGAUGAGCCUAUGCCGGAUUAGCUGGUUGGUGAGGUAACGGCUCACCAAGGCGACGAUCCGUAGCUGGUCUGAGAGGAUGAUCAGCCACAUCGGGACUGAGACACGGCCCGAACUCCUACGGGAGGCAGCAGUGGGGAAUAUUGGACAAUGGGGGCAACCCUGAUCCAGCCAUGCCGCGUGUGUGAAGAAGGCCCUCGGGUUGUAAAGCACUUUCAGCGAGGAAGAACGCCUAUCGGUUAAUACCCGUUAGGAAAGACAUCACUCGCAGAAGAAGCACCGGCUAACUCCGUGCCAGCAGCCGCGGUAAUACGGAGGGUGCAAGCGUUAAUCGGAAUUACUGGGCGUAAAGCGCGCGUAGGUGGCUUGAUAAGCCGGUUGUGAAAGCCCCGGGCUCAACCUGGGAACGGCAUCCGGAACUAUCAGGCUAGAGUGCAGGAGAGGAAGGUAGAAUUCCCGGUGUAGCGGUGAAAUGCGUAGAGAUCGGGAGGAAUACCAGUGGCGAAGGCGGCCUUCUGGACUGACACUGACACUGAGGUGCGAAAGCGUGGGUAGCAAACAGGAUUAGAUACCCUGGUAGUCCACGCCGUAAACGAUGUCGACCAGCCGUUGGGUGCCUAGCGCACUUUGUGGCGAAGUUAACGCGAUAAGUCGACCGCCUGGGGAGUACGGCCGCAAGGUUAAAACUCAAAUGAAUUGACGGGGGCCCGCACAAGCGGUGGAGCAUGUGGUUUAAUUCGAUGCAACGCGAAGAACCUUACCUACCCUUGACAUCCUGCGAACUUGUGAGAGAUCACUUGGUGCCUUCGGGAGCGCAA
Molecule: ribosomal RNA, 920 nt
Filed under: Halomonas sp.
Lineage: Bacteria; Pseudomonadati; Pseudomonadota; Gammaproteobacteria; Oceanospirillales; Halomonadaceae
Description: bacterial SSU rRNA
Rfam family: Bacterial small subunit ribosomal RNA
Source: RNAcentral